This 229-nucleotide unclassified non-coding RNA is filed under the name uncultured bacterium. RNAcentral's name for it is "contains 16S-23S intergenic spacer region". The record is from RNAcentral.
GGUUUACGGAGGCGACGGCCGUGACAUCAUUUUUGGCGGCGUCGGGGCCGACAGUCUGGAUGCUGGAGCGGGCACUGACCUUAUCGUCGAUCUCUGGGGUGCCAACAUUCUGGUUGGCGGGCCGGACAGCGAUGUUCUGGUCGGCGGACUCGAUAGGGAUUCAUUGUUGGGCGGCGACGGAACUGACUUUCUUUUCAAUCUUGGCGGAGAGGACUGGAUGCGCGGUGAG